Molecule: long non-coding RNA, 714 nt
Organism: Sapajus apella (tufted capuchin)
Lineage: Eukaryota; Metazoa; Chordata; Mammalia; Primates; Cebidae
Exons: 3
Source: RefSeq, a predicted model, not a curated record
CCGCCUGUGCCUGCGCGCUACGUCCGCUGGGAGUUGUAGUCUUGACCGCCCCUCUGUCCUUGGUCUCCCCAACGCCUCAGCCCCCUGCAGGUUGAACUACAACUCCCAGAGGCCCACGCGUCGGAGGCCUGGAGUGGCUGAGGGCUCAAGGGGGAGGGAUAAGGGGGCGUCUGGAGAAGCUGGGGCGAGGGAACUGAGGAGUGAAGGGAAUAAAAGAAAGCGUGGGGGCUCAGUGGGAAAGGACAGGGUGCCCGAAAGACGCGCAGUGAGCCGAGUUGGGGAGCGGUGAGCCCCAACUGCGGCCCGACCCGGGCGGGGCCUGGGCGGGGCUUGCGGGAGAGCGGGCGGGGACUAGCUGCGUCACGCCGCGUGGGCGGGGCCGCAGGGGGUUGUCCGAUCGUGGCACGCACAGCAGCCGCAGCCGCCUCGCGCCUGGUCCCGCGGUCGCAGCUCCAGCCGCCUCCUCCGCGCAGCCGCCGCCUUAGCCCCUCGUUCGGUGGGUCGGUCCUGUCCGCCACUUGGGCUCCAGCCGCGCCCUCCAAGCCCUUCAGGCCACCCCAGUGUCCUUCUUUUUCUCCGGCCCGACCCAGCUCCGCGAAGAUGGUGGACCGCGAGCAACUGGUGCAGAAAGCCCGGCUGGCCGAGCAGGCGGAGCGCUACGACGACAUGGCCGCGGCCAUGAAGAACGUGACUGGGCUGCAUGAGCCACCGUGC